Molecule: ribosomal RNA, 861 nt
Filed under: uncultured bacterium
Lineage: Bacteria
Description: bacterial SSU rRNA
Rfam family: Bacterial small subunit ribosomal RNA
Source: RNAcentral
GAGUUUGAUCCUGGCUCAGGAUGAACGCUAGCGGGAGGCUUAACACAUGCAAGUCGAGGGGCAUCACGAGAUAGCAAUAUUUUGGUGGCGACCGGCGCACGGGUGAGUAACGCGUAUGUAACCUACCCUGUACAGGGGGAUAGCCCGGAGAAAUUCGGAUUAAUACCCCAUAAAGAUAUGAGAAGGCAUCUUUUUAUAUUUAAAGCUUCGGCGGUACGGGAUGGGCAUGCGUAACAUUAGCUAGUUGGUAGGGUAACGGCCUACCAAGGCUGCGAUGUUUAGGGGUCCUGAGAGGGUGAUCCCCCACACUGGUACUGAGACACGGACCAGACUCCUACGGGAGGCAGCAGUGAGGAAUAUUGGUCAAUGGGCGCAAGCCUGAACCAGCCAUCCCGCGUGCAGGAAGACGGCGCUAUGCGUUGUAAACUGCUUUUCCAGGGGGCGAAUAGCUUCUACGAGUAGGGGUAUGACGGUACCCUGGGAAUAAGCAUCGGCUAACUCCGUGCCAGCAGCCGCGGUAAUACGGAGGAUGCAAGCGUUAUCCGGAUUUAUUGGGUUUAAAGGGUGCGUAGGCGGAGUAAUAAGUCAGUGGUGAAAACCUGCAGCUUAACUGUGGAACUGCCAUUGAUACUGUUAUUCUUGAGUAUGGUCAAGGUAGGCGGAAUGUGUAAUGUAGCGGUGAAAUGCUUAGAUAUUACACAGAACACCAAUUGCGAAGGCAGCUUACUGGACCAUUACUGACGCUGAUGCACGAAAGCGUGGGGAGCGAACAGGAUUAGAUACCCUGGUAGUCCACGCCGUAAACGAUGAUCACUCGCUGUUGGCGAUACACAGUCAGCGGCCUAAGCAAAAGCAUUAAGU